RNAcentral lists this long non-coding RNA (1506 nucleotides) under Sus scrofa (pig). RNAcentral's name for it is "lncRNA (ENSSSCG00005020873.1)". Lineage: Eukaryota; Metazoa; Chordata; Mammalia; Artiodactyla; Suidae. The record is from RNAcentral.
AUCUGGACGUGAAAUAAGUGCCCUAGAUCAGAACCUUGUUUCUGUCGGGCGGCACCCAGGGGAGCCUGCGCACAUCCAGACGGACCUGUGUUACCACAGACGUAACGUUAGCGACCCCUCAGACCGCGGCUGACCAUUCCCCACGCGUGACCCGGCCUCUCUAUCAGGACUGAAAGUGUAGGUUUAGCAGAAAAAAAAAAAAAAAAGAAAAAAAGCGAAGCAAAAAAACAUACUUUCAUGUUUUGUGAGUUUUCCUUUUUACUUUUCCGAAAAACAAAAAAACAACAACAAAAAAAGGCGGGAAAACUACAGAAUCACACAAGGCCUACCAGAUGGUACUUUGCCAUCGGAAUUAGGAUGGGUGUCUUCAAUUUGAAUUUCCUAGGCUCUUUAGCAAAGCCCAAAGGGCAGUAUCCACAGUUUGCAUGAAUUACGACUGUAAGCCCUUGCCCACUUCAGUUCUCUGUCUUUGUCCUUGAUCUUCUCUGCCAAAAUAAUGUGAGUGUACAGAAGUACUUCUGUAUAUUUCAGCUUAUGACAGUUUGUAUUCAAUUAGAGACCUUUUCUGUGGAAAGCUCAGUAAUUUUUAUUAAAAGAUUGCUAUUGUUCAUGUAAAACAUGAAAACCAGUUGUUCAGUGAACCGACAGUGUGGACUCCGGGCGGGAUGAAAGGUCCAGGACUGUGGUCUCACUCAGCAGAACUUGCAGGAGAGCAUUACAGUUGAUGUUGUUUUCCUUCUGCCCUCGUGCAGUUUUGUUUCGCUUCCUCUGCUCCUCCAGGUAACACAAGGUAACAUCCUGACAGAAAGUGCCCCUGCCAGCGGCACCCUCACCCCCCACCCCCCAGCCCCCCAGGAGCGCUAGUGGUCUCCGCCGCCUGGUUUAGGCGCUGCCUUCCGGCCAUGACUCAAGAGCGCUGUUGCUGUUAUCUUUAGGUCUAAGAGAAGACGUCCGAUGCUGAUGGGAGGCUGGUCUGUCAAGGUGUCCAGCAGCCGCCGUGUGAUCCGGGAGCCUCUGUGUCAUUCACGUGUCUGUCUCCACAGUUGUGCAAAAUGGCAGAUUCUACCAUCUGUGGGUCGUGCUUGCCAGACAGGUCUUCAAUUUUGUAUUUUUUGGAAAAGUUGAUAUAGUUUCUUGGCGAUUGUUAUGAAAGGAUCAAGCAAUCAGGAUAGCCAUUUCUUUAAUAUCCGUUUAAAAUCUGUUCAUUUCAUGUUAGUGGGACCGUGAACUUGUCACCAAGCAGAACUCUAUAUAAAACAAAAUUUUAAACUCUUUGUGGCCUAUAUGUGUUUAAUCCUGGUUAAAGAUAAAGCUUCUAAUGCUGUUUUUCUUCAACCUAUUAACCAGCUAUAAAACACAGACCUUUAUCAACAGCAGGCAAAGAAUUUCAAGAUUUAUAUACAAAUAGACUAUAAAGUCAUGUAAUUUGAAAAGCGGUGUUUCAUUAUGAAAGAGCUCUCAAGAUGCUUGUAAAGCUGAUCUAAUUAAAAAGAUGUAUAAAUGUUC